RNAcentral lists this ribosomal RNA (1372 nucleotides) under uncultured bacterium. RNAcentral describes it as "bacterial SSU rRNA". It matches the Rfam family "Bacterial small subunit ribosomal RNA", at positions 28 to 1381 of the family's 1533-position model. The record is from RNAcentral.
GAUGAACGCUGGCGGCGUGCCUAAUACAUGCAAGUCGAGCGAACGGACGAGAAGCUUGCUUCUCUGAUGUUAGCGGCGGACGGGUGAGUAACACGUGGAUAACCUACCUAUAAGACUGGGAUAACUUCGGGAAACCGGAGCUAAUACCGGAUAAUAUUUUGAACCGCAUGGUUCAAAAGUGAAAGACGGUCUUGCUGUCACUUAUAGAUGGAUCCGCGCUGCAUUAGCUAGUUGGUAAGGUAACGGCUUACCAAGGCAACGAUGCAUAGCCGACCUGAGAGGGUGAUCGGCCACACUGGAACUGAGACACGGUCCAGACUCCUACGGGAGGCAGCAGUAGGGAAUCUUCCGCAAUGGGCGAAAGCCUGACGGAGCAACGCCGCGUGAGUGAUGAAGGUCUUCGGAUCGUAAAACUCUGUUAUUAGGGAAGAACGUAUGUGUAAGUAACUGUGCACAUCUUGACGGUACCUAAUCAGAAAGCCACGGCUAACUACGUGCCAGCAGCCGCGGUAAUACGUAGGUGGCAAGCGUUAUCCGGAAUUAUUGGGCGUAAAGCGCGCGUAGGCGGUUUUUUAAGUCUGAUGUGAAAGCCCACGGCUCAACCGUGGAGGGUCAUUGGAAACUGGAAAACUUGAGUGCAGAAGAGGAAAGUGGAAUUCCAUGUGUAGCGGUGAAAUGCGCAGAGAUACGGAGGAACACCAGUGGCGAAGGCGACUUUCUGGUCUGUAACUGACGCUGAUGUGCGAAAGCGUGGGGAUCAAACAGGAUUAGAUACCCUGGUAGUCCACGCCGUAAACGAUGAGUGCUAAGUGUUAGGGGGUUUCCGCCCCUUAGUGCUGCAGCUAACGCAUUAAGCACUCCGCCUGGGGAGUACGACCGCAAGGUUGAAACUCAAAGGAAUUGACGGGGACCCGCACAAGCGGUGGAGCAUGUGGUUUAAUUCGAAGCAACGCGAAGAACCUUACCAAAUCUUGACAUCCUUUGACAACUCUAGAGAUAGAGCCUUCCCCUUCGGGGGACAAAGUGACAGGUGGUGCAUGGUUGUCGUCAGCUCGUGUCGUGAGAUGUUGGGUUAAGUCCCGCAACGAGCGCAACCCUUAAGCUUAGUUGCCAUCAUUAAGUUGGGCACUCUAAGUUGACUGCCGGUGACAAACCGGAGGAAGGUGGGGAUGACGUCAAAUCAUCAUGCCCCUUAUGAUUUGGGCUACACACGUGCUACAAUGGACAAUACAAAGGGCAGCGAAACCGCGAGGUCAAGCAAAUCCCAUAAAGUUGUUCUCAGUUCGGAUUGUAGUCUGCAACUCGACUACAUGAAGCUGGAAUCGCUAGUAAUCGUAGAUCAGCAUGCUACGGUGAAUACGUUCCCGGGUCU